CACUGUACUGCCACCACCCAAACUGACAACUGUUCCUACUGUCCCUGAGGGGGUCAUGGUAAGCGUCCAUUGGCUUCCCAAGAGCCACAUGAGAUAUAAAAGCAAUUCUUCCCAUGUGUCUUUCAAGGUGUCAGCAGGAGUCAAGGACACUUCAAAGAGUCAUGCUCUGGCCGUGGCAAGCCAGGUACCAGGAAGGUUAAAUCACCUGUGAAAGGAAAGCCACAGGCUGAGUCAGACCCAGGGAGAGACUCACAGGAAUGGCCCCGUCUGCGGGGAAGGCCAAGGUCUUCAUUUUGGUAAGGUCCUGGAAGGGCUCCUCCUGAUUUUCCUGGGGUCUCCGGUGCACUCAUUGGGUUUUAAAUCUUAAGGCUAAUGAUCUCAUGACACUAAGUGCUAAAAACGCUUAACGCUAAAGAUCCCAGGAUGCUAUCCCAAGUGCUAAGCAUCCCAGGACAAUGCACAGUCCCGCUCUCACCGGGUCAGCCCACCUUUCUAUAGCCUCACCCUUAGAUAUCUGCUCUACUCAAGCCAUUCUAAACAUAGCCUAUGUGUCCACAUCUUCAUUCUUUCUUUUGCUAUUCCCUCUGCUGGGAAUAUUUUUCCCUCUUUAACUAGAAAACUUGUACUUGACUUUAAAUAUGGAUUUUAAAUGCCUGCUUCUUUUCACAGCCUCCCCUGGCCCUUUCCUCCCUGACCCCCUUACCAGUUUUCCCGCAGAACUACACUUAUGGCACUUCUUGGCCCUUCCUGUGUUGAAUCCUAGCUAUCUGGGAUCAUGUUUUCUCUAUGGCUACACUGAAAAUCUCUCCAGGACAGUGGCUCAAUCAUAUUCACCUUUGUACCCAAAGUAGCUAGCUCGAGUCCUGGCACACAGAGGGGAAAAACAGAAGUACCAGCUUAAAUCAAAUAGAAAUAGGUCUGCUUAAGGAAAACUUUGUUCCAAAUUCCCAAGUGGACAGCCAUCAAAGGUGUUCCUUUCUAAGAGGAGAUCCAAGGCCUCGUUAUAGAUGGAUGGUGAAGUGUCACUUUACAAGCUGCUGCUGUGAACAGACCUCCAUGAAUACCUGAAUGCACACGAGUGUGCACAGACACACACACACACAGAAGCUGAAAGGAGCUGGAUGCUCUCUGGUGAGGUGCAGCAAGGAAGAUAAGAUCACCCCGCUGCAGAGGAAGGUCCCAGGACUACAGAAUGUGAUGACUGUGGUGGCCUGCAGGGCAUUUAGAUUCCAAACAUGACAGACUCAAAGGCUUGGUAUUGAAUCUCAGUUCUGCAUUAGUCAGUGCUCUUUGGCUUGGGGUCUUAAGUCCCUGGAAACUAGGCACCUCGUGCUGCUUAAGUCCCUCCGGAUUGUAGUACUUUAUAGGUAUUACAUAAAUAUUCGUUGAUCAACUGAUUGUGAAGAUCGCCGCCAUUUUUCGAGGCAACAGGCUCCUGUCAUGGUGGCUUCUCCCCCACACCAUCAUGUCCUUAGGAUUUUGGAAAACUCAUCCAAGAAGGGCUUGUGCUAAUGUGAUAUCACAGGGAAACAUCCCACCUCUUUUUGGAAUGCAGAUAUAGAUUGCUCCAGAUUGCAUGCACACUAAUUAGAGCCACUGGUAAUUUGACUGCUGCACUGAAGUCCCAAAGUACUCACUGAAGGCACCUUUGUCCUUGCACAUGAGAGCUUUUGUCCCUAUGUGUCAAAAUGGCCAAACUGUCUUUUGAUGGUGCUGCUGGUAUCCAGAGCCUGGAUGUCAGGGUCGAGGUACCUGCCCACUGAAUCCACCAUCAGAAGGGAACUCAGUGCCAUCCUUUUUCCUGAAAGCAGUGUUGUACAGAUCACUGGCUCUAAGUAGGAUAUUCUAAUAAAUGUUGCUGUUAUUUUUACUGUCUUGUGCAGUGUUGAAUAAGCUUCUCAUAAGCUGGCCUUUAUGUAACCACCAUGACCUACAUUUUUAAUUCAGAUCUUUAUUUUCUGUUUCAUAAACCCUUUUAAUUUAAUAUCACUGUAAAAAAUCUAAAUGGAUAUACAUAGUGUUCUUUUUGUACUAAGCUUUUUGGGCUAGACUUUUAUGGUUAAUAUCAGGGACUGGGUGGUCACUGUGAGAGCACAAGAGAGCAUGGGAGUGCCUGGUAUAGCUUGCCCUAGCAACUGAUACCCUCUCAUUGCUUCAUUGAAUUUUUUUUGUUCUUGACCUCUGCCCUUGUUUUCAGUAAUAUUGGUAUAAUGAGUUGAAUAAAUGGCUCUGUCUAUAAAGAAAUGGGAAAAGUCUGGUUUUGGCUAAAAUGCCCUCAGGGGAUUAAAGUAAUGAAGGGUAGACAAAGAGGCACACCUAAGGACCAAUCAAAUGGAUAGAGAUUUCUGUUCCUUGGAGGUUCCAGCCAGGGAAGAGUCCACUCAGAAUGGACCUAGCCCCACCGGCCCUACCAGGGGACACAAUCCUUUCUAGUAUCUAUUCUUUUCU
Canis lupus familiaris (dog) is the source of this 2448-nucleotide long non-coding RNA. RefSeq lists it as uncharacterized. Lineage: Eukaryota; Metazoa; Chordata; Mammalia; Carnivora; Canidae. The record is from RefSeq and is a predicted model, not a curated record. The transcript is spliced from 3 exons.